GACCUCAAAUCAGGUAGGACUACCCGCUGAACUUAAGCAUAUCAAUAAGCGGAGGAAAAGAAACUAACAAGGAUUCCCCUAGUAACUGCGAGUGAAGAGGGAAAAGCUCAAAUUUAAAAUCUGUCAGUCUUUGGCUGACCGAGUUGUAAAUUAGAGGAGUGCUAUCUGCGCUGGCCUGUGCAAAAGUCUCUUGGAAAAGAGCAUCAUAGAGGGUGACAAUCCCGUCUUUGGUACAGAGCUCCAGGGCUUCAUGAUGUGCUCUCAAUGAGUCGAGUUGUUUGGGAAUGCAGCUCUAAAUGGGUGGUAAAUUCCAUCUAAAGCUAAAUAUUGGCGAGAAACCGAUAGCGCACAAGUACCGUGAGGGAAAGAUGAAAAGAACUUUGAAAAGAGAGUUAAACAGUACGUGAAAUUGUUGAAAGGGAAACGCUUGAAGUCAG
This 437-nucleotide ribosomal RNA is filed under the name uncultured fungus. RNAcentral's name for it is "eukaryotic LSU rRNA". It matches the Rfam family "Eukaryotic large subunit ribosomal RNA", at positions 1 to 432 of the family's 3401-position model. The record is from RNAcentral. Lineage: Eukaryota; Fungi.